UUUCAUUCUAUUUAUGUGUUUUAUACAUUUCUCAAGCGAGUACUUUCCCUCUAUGCAGUGGGAGAACCAAAUGGCAUUCCUUUAUCCCCCUACCCCAUUCUCAACAUCCCAAACCACAUCACAGAAGUCCACCAAACACAGCCAGGUAUGUGAUGCUUUGUUUUUAUUUUAGGUUCUCCUGAAGAUGUUCAGUAUGCAGGUUGUUAACUCUGUCUUUUGCUCAGUGUUUGUGGAACAGGCGAUACGCUCUGCACCCCCUCAGGUGCUGGUAGUGACGCAGCAGGAGGUUCGGCGUCGGUUGGGUGACGGGCCCACUGUAACUACUUGCCCGUUCUGUCAACACCGUAUCACCACUGUUGUGAGCUACAAACCGGGGGCUGCAGCAUGGGGAGUGUGCUGUCUGCUCACUCUGCUCGGGUUCGUCUGUGGAGUUUGCCUUAUCCCAUUUUGUAUUACAGCACUGCACGAUGUCCAUCAUAGCUGUCCACUCUGCAACAAACACAUAGGGAUACACGUUCGCUGAGAAAGACUGAACACGAUAAUAAAAUCCACAGACAGUGAAUUAAUCA
RNAcentral lists this long non-coding RNA (569 nucleotides) under Astyanax mexicanus (Mexican tetra). RNAcentral's name for it is "lncRNA (ENSAMXG00005007771.1)". Lineage: Eukaryota; Metazoa; Chordata; Actinopteri; Characiformes; Acestrorhamphidae. The record is from RNAcentral.